Molecule: long non-coding RNA, 901 nt
Filed under: Homo sapiens (human)
Lineage: Eukaryota; Metazoa; Chordata; Mammalia; Primates; Hominidae
Description: HSALNT0229321
Source: RNAcentral
GGUAGGCGGAGGUUGCAGUGAGCCGAGAUCACACCACUGCAUUCUAGCCUAUGCAACAGAGCGAGACUCUGUCUCAAAAAAAAAGAAAUAUAUUGUUCCAACAACCAGCUAAAAGUGAAGGUGGGAGGUUGGGUUCAAGCUCUGAGGGGUCUCAUAAUCUGAAAGUUGCCUGACGUUCUUGGAAGAUAGUCCAAACUUUAGGGUCCCCACCUUGUUACUUGCAAUGAAACGGACACAGUGGAAGACAGCUUGGAGUAGGAAAAGGACUGAAGACUGCAGCAGCCAGGUGAACUUCUAUUCGUCCAUCAAGACCCAACCCAAAGUAAGGAAACCAAGACUUCGAGAGUCAAUAACUCAAGAUACCUUAGCUAGUGAAGUUAAGAGCUGGAUUCCACUCCAAAUGAGUCUCAACCCAAAGCUUUCACUCAUCCUACUAAACUAAGCCAAAAACCCACUUGAAGCCAGGCGGGAGGGCUCACGCCUGUAAUCCCAGCACUUUGGGAGGCCGAGGCUGGCGGAUCACCUGAGGUCGGGAGUUCAAGACCAGCCUGGCCACUAUGGUGAAACUCCGUUUCUACUAAAAAUAAAAAAAAUAGCCGGGCAUCAUGGUGGGUGCCUGUAGUCCCAGCUACUCGAGAGGCUGAGGCAGGAUAAUCGUUUGAACCCGGGAGGCGGAAGUUGCAGUGAGCUGAGAUUGCACCAUUGCACUCCAGCCUGGGCGACAAAGCGAGACUCCGUCUCAAACAACAACAACAACAAACUACACUCUAGUCUGGGCGACAGAGCAAGACCCUGUCUUAAAAACAAACAAACAAACAAGGAAACCCCAUUUGUAACUGCCACUAAUUGGACUAUACUUCUGGUGGGCCAUCUUCAAGCUUCGGGCUUGAAUAAACCCUAU